CUGUCCCUUUAAUGUCACUGUAGUACUUUAAGGGGUUAACUUUAACAGCAGGAUGAAAGAACUCUCCAUCAACCAAGGGAGGAGCCUGAACGAGGCUCUUUGGAUCCUAUUUGGAAUCACAGAU
Molecule: small nucleolar RNA, 124 nt
Organism: Mesocricetus auratus (golden hamster)
Lineage: Eukaryota; Metazoa; Chordata; Mammalia; Rodentia; Cricetidae
Source: Ensembl